CAGAGUUAUACAGCUUGUAACUGAAUGCUUUUCAUGAUCGGUAAACAUCAAUUGAUGAUGUCAUUUGAGGGUAACCUAUCCAUUUGACAUGUAGCUAGCUAGCUAAGGAAAUAGUGUCAUUUAGCUUGCUUCAUCAGAGAUUAGGCUUUUGGAAAGAGUUUGACAUCGGCAAAACCUCGUCCUGGUAAAGUUGUCAGUCAGACUACUGUCAUCACCACUAUAGAUGGCAAGCAAAUCAAACAAUACCUGGAUAAAGCCAUCUAGUUUAUCCCCUGAAAGUUAGCUUGUUAGCUAGCCAUAUUGACGUGAUCUGUUAUUAGCUAGCUAGCCAAUUUGACAUGAUCCAUCAAUCAAUGUAGCCUAUCAUGUCUGUCAGCCACAAUCAUGUUUGAACACUUAAAAACAAUGUUCCAUCAAUUCAUCACAUGUUUAUUUGUCACAUGUGCCGAAUACAGCAGGUGUAGACCUUACCGUGAAAUGGUAACUUACAAGCCCUUAACCAACAAUGCAGUUUCAAGAAAAAUAAGAGUUAAGAAAAUAUUUACUAAAUAAACUAAAGAGUCAAUGUGCGGGGGUACAGGUUAGUCGAGGUAAUUGAGGUAAUAUAUACAGGGGUACCGGUACAGAGUCAAUGUGCGGGGUUACAGGUUCGUCGAGGUAAUUGAGGUAAUAUAUACAGUGGGUACCGGUACAGAGUCAAUGUGCGGGGGUACAGGUUAGUCGAGGUAAUUGAGGAAUUAUAUACAGGGGGUACCGGUACAGAGUCAAUGUGCGGGGGUAUAGGUUAGUUGAGGUAAUUGAGGUAAUAUAUACAGGGGGUACCGGUAGAGAGUCAAUGUGCGGGGGUACAGGUUAGUCGAGGUAAUUGAGGUAAUAUAUACAGGGGGUACCGGUACAGAGUCAAUGUGCGGGGGUACAGGUUAGUCGAGGUAAUUGAGGUAAUAUAUACAGGGGGUACCGGUACAGAGUCAAUGUGCGGGGGUACAGGUUCGUCGAGGUAAUUGAGGUAAUAUAUACAGGGGGUACCGGUACAGAGUCAAUGUGCGGGGGUACAGGUUAGUCGAGGUAAUUGAGGUAAUAUAUACAGGGGGUACCGGUACAGAGUCAAUGUGCGGGGGUACAGGUUAGUCGAGGUAAUUGAGGUAAUAUAUACAGGGGGUACCGGUACAGAGUCAGAGUCAAUGUGCGGUGGUACAGGUUAGUCGAGGUAAUUGAGGUAAUAUAUACAGGGGUACCGGUACAGAGUCAAUGUGUGGGGGUACAGGUUAGUUGAGGUAAUUGAGGUAAUAUGUACACUACCAUUCAAAAGUUU
RNAcentral lists this long non-coding RNA (1312 nucleotides) under Salmo salar (Atlantic salmon). RNAcentral's name for it is "lncRNA (ENSSSAG00000086545.1)". The record is from RNAcentral. Lineage: Eukaryota; Metazoa; Chordata; Actinopteri; Salmoniformes; Salmonidae.